AAAAAACCACACACCCAACGCUUUGUGUAUUAUCUAACUUGACCCGACAUUCCUGUUCAGUCUAAUUUUGGCACCGCUUAUAGCGCCAUCCGCCAUUCCUAACCUCGGGGCUCAAGACGGGGCAUCUUGAUCGUGUAAAAGAUGAUGAUUAUCGUGGGGCCUCCGGAGGAAGUCCAGUAAUUUACUUGACAGGGAGAGAAGGUGCUCCAAAUCGCCAUACAGCACAUGGAAACACGCAAGAAACCAGUAGCAUUUAUCGCCUGCGUGUGGUCCAUUUUGAAAAGCCAUUACGAUGGAGACUAUAACUCAACCACCCAUUGCCUAAUUGCGAAUACCCAACGGCGCUUUUCCUGGGGCCAAGAUACUACGGACAGAAAAAUUGAGUAUUGACCCCUUCAAGCGCACGGGGGGGGUGGGUGGGAAAUGACAGCAUUUUAAUGUCAUGAACUGGUGGCCUUACUGUAUUCUUUUUAGCCGCAGAUUCGGUGCUUGGCCAGACAUUUGUGGCACCUUGCUGCAGGCGGCUGGCACAUCCUGGAAGGUCCAGGGUCUCUCCUCUCAGCCCCCCACCCCACCCCGGAUGGCUGCACUCCAAAUCCUCUGCCGUCACUAGAGGCCAGCAAGCCUGCUCCACAGAUCAGUGGCUCCGGACACGAGCCGGAAAGGACAUGGGCAAGGUCGUGCAUGGCUCUGCCACGUGGACAGAUCUGUGGCUGGCAGGAAUUCAGUCGGGCCGAACGCCCCGAGCAAAUCCAGUCAAUACCGACGGAGCUGUCAUCACCAUCACCCGAUAACCAGCACGCUCCUGUUCCCGCCAGGCGAUUGCAUUUCAUAUCAGCAUCCAAAUUUAGAGAGAAAAAAGAAGGCAUGUUGUCAUCAUUUAUGGUUACAUUGCCAGAAGCCCAAAAACUCCGGCUGAACUGCUGAAAAGCUCAGUGGCUUGAGGGCCUGAGGUUGGGAGUUCGAAUUCACCACUGUAGCUCCUCGGAUGGAGCCGGAUUUGACGAUCCAACUCUGCAGUUGUCUGAUGAUUU
RNAcentral lists this long non-coding RNA (1034 nucleotides) under Pogona vitticeps (central bearded dragon). RNAcentral describes it as "lncRNA (ENSPVIG00000010607.1)". The record is from RNAcentral. Lineage: Eukaryota; Metazoa; Chordata; Lepidosauria; Squamata; Agamidae.